AGAAGGGUGAGGAAGGCUGCAAAACUCUUCAGGGAAGGAGGCCUGGGAGAGACUCUGCUCAAGCAGAGAUAAGGCAGAGAGAACCCAAGGACUGUAACCCUAAGAUUGUGUGUGACUUGCCUGGAGUGCUGGGCCACUGAAAACCUGCCUAGCAAGGUCGGCAGCCUUCAGGGGGUGCCAGG
Long non-coding RNA from Chelonia mydas (Green sea turtle), 182 nucleotides. RefSeq lists it as uncharacterized. The transcript is spliced from 2 exons. Lineage: Eukaryota; Metazoa; Chordata; Testudines; Cheloniidae. The record is from RefSeq and is a predicted model, not a curated record.